Molecule: non-coding RNA, 70 nt
Organism: Thalictrum thalictroides
Lineage: Eukaryota; Viridiplantae; Streptophyta; Magnoliopsida; Ranunculales; Ranunculaceae
Source: the annotation of a GenBank genome assembly
UUAGUGCCAGUGAUGGGUUUAAAUAUACUUUGAAUUGAUAUAAUGAAAAAGGUUAAGUCUGAGGCACCAA